GUUUAACAUUUUCUAUACGAAACUUCAAUAUAAUCAAUAGUGGUAGAAAGAAUUGAAAGAUAAUAAAAGUGGACCAAUAUGUUUAGUCAAUCUGUCUGUUCUUCAUAUAAUGAUGGAUCUCAUUUAUGUUUUUGCACAGUUUGCUAGUACAAUGAAACAGUUUUUGUUUUUGUUUCUGGAGCAUCCUUGAAUUUAUGUUAGCUGUUUUGUAGAGCGCAAUGGAAAGAAGUAGAUUGCAUACAAGGAUUGAGGACAACUAUGGACUGUGUUCGUCAGGAGUAGAGGUUGUUCGUGCUAAGCGAGGAUCAGUCUACUUCAUUCUUCCGAUGCUACAUAGGAGUUCCUUUAUGAUUCAGUUUCCUAUUUUAGAUUAUUGUCAUUUGUUUAGUUUGGAUUUUCUAGGGGUCCACACAGUAUGGAUUCCCGAGUUGUAUUUUGGAGGAUCAGUUGUAUCAGAAGAGUUUAUUAAUUAAUGGAAAUAUAUUAUGAUGUUUAUUAUUAGAUUAUCAUUUUAAUU
Molecule: long non-coding RNA, 517 nt
Organism: Cornus florida
Lineage: Eukaryota; Viridiplantae; Streptophyta; Magnoliopsida; Cornales; Cornaceae
Exons: 3
Source: RefSeq, a predicted model, not a curated record